UACGGAGGGUGCGAGCGUUAAUCGGAAUUACUGGGCGUAAGGCGUGCGCAGGCGGCCCGUUAAGCCAGAUGUAAAGCCCCGGGCUCAACCUGGGAACUGCGUUUGGUACUGGCGGGCUGGAGUCGGGUAGAGGCGGGCGGAAUUCCGGGUGUAGCGGUGAAAUGCGUAGAUAUCCGGAGGAACACCAGUGGCGAAGGCGGCCUGCUGGGCCCAGACUGACGCUGAGGCACGAAGGCGUGGGUAGCAAACAGG
Molecule: ribosomal RNA, 252 nt
Filed under: uncultured bacterium
Lineage: Bacteria
Description: partial 16S ribosomal RNA
Rfam family: Bacterial small subunit ribosomal RNA
Source: RNAcentral